GACGAACGCUGGCGGCGUGCUUAACACAUGCAAGUCGAACGAGACGAUUGAAAGCUUGCUUUUGAAAGUCGAGUGGCAAACGGGUGAGUAACGCGUAGACAACCUGCCUUUGAGAUGGGGACAACAGUUCGAAAGGACUGCUAAUACCGAAUGUUGUAUAUUUUCCACAUGGAAGAUAUAUUAAAGAUGGCCUCUAUUUAUAAGCUAUCGCUCAAAGAUGGGUCUGCGUCUGAUUAGCUGGUUAGUGGGGUAACGGCCUACCAAGGCGACGAUCAGUGGCCGGUCUGAGGGGAUGAACGGCCACAUUGGGACUGAGACACGGCCCAGACUCCUACGGGAGGCAGCAGUGGGGAAUCUUCCACAAUGGACGAAAGUCUGAUGGAGCAACGCCGCGUGAGUGAAGAAGGGUUUCGGCUCGUAAAGCUCUGUUGUCGGGGACGAAUGUGCAGUAUUUGAAUAAAGUACUGCAAUGACGGUACCUGACGAGGAAGCCACGGCUAACUACGUGCCAGCAGCCGCCGUAA
Molecule: ribosomal RNA, 524 nt
Filed under: uncultured bacterium
Lineage: Bacteria
Description: partial 16S ribosomal RNA
Rfam family: Bacterial small subunit ribosomal RNA
Source: RNAcentral